Molecule: small nucleolar RNA, 315 nt
Organism: Tribolium madens (black flour beetle)
Lineage: Eukaryota; Metazoa; Arthropoda; Insecta; Coleoptera; Tenebrionidae
Source: RefSeq, a predicted model, not a curated record
UGCCAGUGAUGAUGCAGUUUUUAUGAAAUCGUGGAUACAUCAGGCCUCCUUUGUAAUCUUGGUUUCAAAUGUUUUAAAUUUUGAAACUGUAAAGCCAAAGGUACAUCAACCUGACCAUCUUGGUAUGAGUCCCAUAUGGUCGAUUCUGCCGAUGGUGAAGUACCACCGCGACGGGUUUAAGUGGUGAAGAACAUACACAUUAAAUCAUCUUUUCGGUGGCACAGUCGUUGCAAUACACAUAUUUAAACAUGGUUGCAAUAGUUUGUAAGGCUUUGAUGUAUCUAACUGUGAUGUUUCUUUAGUAAUCUGAGGCGA